UGGGGAAUAUUGCACAAUGGGCGCAAGCCUGAUGCAGCCAUGCCGCGUGUAUGAAGAAGGCCUUCGGGUUGUAAAGUACUUUCAGCGGGGAGGAAGGGAGUAAAGUUAAUACCUUCGCUCAUUGACGUUACCCGCAGAAGAAGCACCGGCUAACUCCGUGCCAGCAGCCGCGGUAAUACGGAGGGUGCAAGCGUUAAUCGGAAUUACUGGGCGUAAAGCGCACGCAGGCGGUUUGUUAAGUCAGAUGUGAAAUCCCCGGGCUCAACCUGGGAACUGCAUUCGAAACUGGCAGGCUAGAGUCUUGUAGAGGGGGGUAGAAUUCCAGGUGUAGCGGUGAAAUGCGUAGAGAUCUGGAGGAAUACCGGUGGCGAAGGCGGCCCCCUGGACGAAGACUGACGCUCAGGUGCGAAAGCGUGGGGAGCAAACAGG
RNAcentral lists this ribosomal RNA (429 nucleotides) under Chloroflexota bacterium. Its description in RNAcentral is "Chloroflexi bacterium partial 16S ribosomal RNA". It matches the Rfam family "Bacterial small subunit ribosomal RNA", at positions 355 to 776 of the family's 1533-position model. Lineage: Bacteria; Bacillati; Chloroflexota. The record is from RNAcentral.